AAUCAACGCUGGCGGCGUGCCUCAGACAUGCAAGUCGAACGCGAAAGCCCCCUUCGGGGGGCAAGUAGAGUGGCGCACGGGUGAGUAACACGUAGGUAAUCUACCUUUGGAUGGGGAAUAACAACCGGAAACGGUUGCUAAUACCGCAUAAUGCAGCGGCACCUAAUGGUGACAGUUGUUAAAGCGGGGGAUCGCAAGACCUCGCGUCUGAAGAGGAGCCUGCGGCAGAUUAGCUAGUUGGUAAGGUAAAGGCUUACCAAGGCGAUGAUCUGUAGCCGGCCUGAGAGGGCGGUCGGCCACACUGACACUGACAUACGGGUCAGACUCCUACGGGAGGCAGCAGUCGGGAAUUUUGGGCAAUGGGCGAAAGCCUGACCCAGCAACGCCGCGUGAAGGAUGAAAUCCCUCGGGAUGUAAACUUCGCAAGAACGGGAAGAAUAAGUGAGAGUUAACACCUCUUACGAUGACGGUACUGUUUGUAAGCUCCGGCUAACUCCGUGCCAGCAGCCG
RNAcentral lists this ribosomal RNA (510 nucleotides) under uncultured bacterium. RNAcentral's name for it is "bacterial SSU rRNA". It matches the Rfam family "Bacterial small subunit ribosomal RNA", at positions 32 to 517 of the family's 1533-position model. The record is from RNAcentral.